Molecule: ribosomal RNA, 440 nt
Filed under: uncultured bacterium
Lineage: Bacteria
Description: partial 16S ribosomal RNA
Rfam family: Bacterial small subunit ribosomal RNA
Source: RNAcentral
CCUACGGGAGGCAGCAGUGGGGAAUAUUGUACAAUGGGGGAAACCCUGAUGCAGCGACGCCGCGUGAGUGAAGAAGUACUUCGUUAUGUAAAGCUCUAUCAGCAGGGAAGAAAAUGACGGUACCUGAGUAAGAAGCCCCGGCUAACUACGUGCCAGCAGCCGCGGGAAUACGUAGGGGGCCAGCGUUAUCCGGAUUUACUGGGUGUAAAGGGAGCGUAGACGGGAGUGCAAGUGUGGAGGGAAAGGCGGGGGGCAAAACCCCGGACUGCUCUGGAAACUGGUCGGCUGGAGUGCAGGAGAGGUAAGUGGAAUGCCUAGUGUAGCGGUGAAAUGCGUAGAUAUUAGGCGGAACUCCAGUGGCGAAGGCGGCUUACUGGACUGUAACUGACGUUGAGGCUCGAAAGCGUGGGGAGCGAACAGGAUUAGAUACCCUUGUAGUC